RNA transcript from Mastomys coucha (southern multimammate mouse), 3744 nucleotides. It is a transcript of the gene named phospholipase C delta 4, with no coding region annotated. The record is from RefSeq and is a predicted model, not a curated record. The transcript has 17 exons. NCBI's taxonomy places the organism in Eukaryota, Metazoa, Chordata, Mammalia, Rodentia, Muridae.
AUGAUUACAAGAGGAAAGAGGACAUUAUGCGGGGGUGGGGUGAGGGGGCUGCUGAGGAUGUAGUUCAGUUGGCAAAGUGCUUGACCACUAUACACACAGAUCUGGGUUUCAUUCUCAUCACCAUUUCAACUGGGCACAGCAGUACACACCUGAGUCUCAGCGCUCAAGAGGUGGAGGCAGGAGGAUAUAUAAGGUCACCCCCCAGCUGUAAAUCAUGUUUAAGAACAUAACAAAUUCAAGGUUAGGCUGGGCCACAAGAAGCCCUGCUUUAAAAACAAACAAACAAACAAACAAAAGCACCCACCAUAUAUACACAAGCUGUUUCACAUGUGUACACAGAUACGGCCCCUUCAGACUGACUGCUAUUUCUUCCCUUCUCCCUAUCUUGCUCAGCUCUUGUUGUUUUUUUUUUACGGACUCAGAUUGAUUUGCCUUUGCAAGGCAGAAUGCAGAAACACAGGAACAAGCAGGUGGAAAGAGACACCAUGGAGAGCAGCCAGAUGAAAUGAGGGCAAAAACAGUGGUAUUCCACACAGACUCUGACCAGAAUGAAAAGCAGUGAUUCACAGAGCCCUGCAACAGACAGGCUUGGCUUUCACUUUGAGAACAAUUGUGGGAUUGGGGUCAGUAAGGGGUCCAGGUGGGGAGGCAUCAAGAUAAAAGGCAGUCAGGCUCCUUCUCCCUGGAGGUGUGUUGCUAUCAACCUCAAUCUAUUCCCUUAAUCCUUUUCUGCCACCCCGCCCCCACAACUCCUCCUGUUGACCAGUGCCCUGGACCUUUAAGAGUUGGAUAGGCUGGACGUAGGAAAGCGCUCACACUUCUUCCCCACCCCAGUCCUCCUCUCGGGCUGUAACUCUGCCAGUUACAGCGGCAGCAGCGGCAAACUGCAGUCCAGGGUGGAAGCAGUCAAGUGCAAAGGAGAAGAGGAGCCUUCUCCAGAGAGCAUUGUGGAGCUCGGACAGACACAGGAUAGUAAUAUCCUACCCAGGAUUCACCCAAAGCCCUUUGCUGCUCCUUGUUCCUUUAGCUGACUCUGACACCAGCUGGUGGAACAGUGGGUGAUGAAAUCUCAGAUUCAAGACUUAAUGGCCACUGAUGAGAACCUGCUGCUGAUGCAAGAAGGCACGAUGAUGCGCAAGGUGAGGACCAAAAGCUGGAAGAAGCUACGAUACUUCAGACUUCAGAAUGAUGGCAUGACAGUCUGGCAUGGACGGCAACCUGACAGCAUACUCAAGCCCACUUUUUCCAUCUCUGAUGUGGAGCGGAUACGUAAGGGCCAGGACUCCGAGUUGUUGCGCUAUCUGGUGGAAGAGUUUCCCCUGGAGCAAGGCUUCACCAUUGUCUUUUAUGGGCGCCGCCCCAACCUGGACCUAGUGGCCAGCAGUGUUCACGAGGCCCAGAUUUGGAUGCGAGGACUCCAGCUGUUGGUGGAUCUUGUCGCCAGCAUGGACCACCAGGAGCAACUGGAUCAAAUGUUGAAUGAGUGGUUCCAACAAGGAGACAGAAACCAGGAUGGCCGGGUGAGUUUCGGAGAAGCUCAACGGCUGCUGCUUCUGAUGAAUAUAGAAAUGGAUGAAGAAUAUGCCUUCAGUCUUUUCCAGGAAGCAGAUGCUACCCAAUCCAAUGCUCUAGGAGCACAAGAAUUUGUACAGUUCUAUAAGGCCUUGACUAAGCGCACUGAGAUUGAAGAAAUAUUCGAGAACUUUUCAUCCGACAAACAGAAGCUGACCUUGCUGGAAUUUGUGGAUUUCCUUAGAGAGGAACAGAAAGAAAAUGACCAUGCCCCUGACCUUGCUUUGGAACUCAUUGACCGCUAUGAGCCUUCUGAGAAUGGCAGAUUGCUGCACGUGCUGAGCAAGGAAGGCUUCCUCAGCUACCUCUGCUCGGCGGAGGGAAACAUCUUCAACCCUGACUGCCUCCCUAUCUACCAGGAUAUGACUCAGCCUCUGAGCCACUACUACAUUAACUCCUCUCACAACACCUACCUAGUAGGGGACCAGCUCUGCGGCCAGAGCAGCGUGGAAGGGUACAUACGGGCCUUGAAACGGGGGUGCCGCUGUGUGGAGGUGGAUACCUGGGAUGGACCUGAUGGAGAGCCCAUUGUUUAUCAUGGGCAUACCCUGACCUCUCGCAUCCUGUUCAAAGAUGUUUUGGCAACACUUGUAAAAUAUGCCUUCCAGUCAUCAGACUACCCUCUCAUCUUGUCUCUGGAUAACCACUGUACCUGGGAACAGCAGAAGACCAUGGCACAUCAUCUGACUAAGAUCCUGGGAGAGCGGCUGCUGAGCACCCCUAUAGAGGGACAACUGAUUGAUAUAAUGCCCUCGCCAGAGCAGCUUCGGGGGAAGAUCUUGGUGAAAGGAAAGAAGUUAAGAACAAUUGGGGUUGAAAAGGAAGAAGAAGACAAGGAAGAGGAGGGGUUAGAUCUCCACCCAGCCUCCCCUGAGUCCCAGGAGCAGGCCUCUGGGAACAAGAAGAAGAAGAAGGUUGUGAAGUGUCCGAUGCCUUGUCAGCUUAUUUGUGGCCAUGUUUUGGCCCAGGCACCUAAUUCUGUUCCUGAGUCCAUUCUCUUGUCAAAGCAGUUUCUUCUCCAGAUUUCCACAACCAUCUUGUGCCCAGACCUAUCUGCCUUGGUUGUCUACUUGAGGACUGUCCCCUUCUGCAGCUUCACUCAUUCCAAAGAAAACUAUCACAUUUAUGACAUUUCAUCCUUUUCUGAGUCCAAGGCCAAGAACCUCAUCAAGGAGGCAGGCAACGAGUUUGUACAGCACAAUGCCAGACAGUUAUGCCGCGUGUAUCCCAGUGGUCUGAGGACAGACUCAUCGAACUUUAACCCUCAGGAAUACUGGAAUGUAGGCUGCCAGAUGGUGGCUAUGAACAUGCAGACUGCAGGAUCUGCAAUGGAUAUCUGUGAUGGGCUCUUCCGCCAGAAUGGUGGCUCUGGCUAUGUGCUAAAGCCAGAAUUCCUGAGAGAUACCCAGAGUUCGUUCAAUCCUGAAAGGCCCAUUAGCCUUUAUAAGGCCCAGAUCCUUGUAGUCCAGGUGAUCAGUGGUCAACGACUCCCCAAAGUGGACAAAACCAAAGAGACGAUCGUUGUGGACCCACUGGUGAAAGUAGAGCUCUUUGGUGUUCCUGAAGACACAAACGAGCAAGAGACCAGCUAUGUGGAGAACAACGGUAUUAAUCCAUACUGGGGAGAGACAUUCUGUUUCCGGAUCCAGGUGCCUGAACUUGCUAUGUUGCGUUUUGUGGUAAAGGAUUAUAGCAGAACAUCCCGAAAUAACUUUAUUGGCCAAUACACCCUGCCUUGGACCUGCAUGAAACAAGGUGAGAGAAACCUUGGACUCCUGGCCAAUAUCCCAACUGUGGCUCCUGAUCCAAUUCUUCUGCCCAUUUCCAGGUUAUCGACACGUAUCCUUGCUCUCCAAAGAUGGCACUAGCCUCCAUCCAGCUUCCAUCUUUGUGAACACCUGCAUGCAGGAAGACCUGGACAUGGAUGAGUCCUGAGAAACACAGGGAGGGCCUUGAAGCAGAACAAUCUACAGAUGCACUGUCCUUUCCAACCUACAACUUCCUCAAAAUCCAGAGCCAGCCAAAGGAUCAAUGAAGGAUCAAGGUUCCCAGGCAAAGGUUGAGGAAGAAUGCCUGACCCAGAACUAUGACUCUCUAGAGAACAAUGUACAGCCUUGAGUUCCCACUGGACUGCUGCUCCUUAGCUGGUCUAAAUAGAGCUUCUCUGUCCAA